AUUUAAUUGAAGAGUUUGAUCAUGGCUCAGAUUGAACGCUGGCGGCAGCCCUUACACAUGCAAGUCGAGCGAGAAAG
Molecule: ribosomal RNA, 77 nt
Filed under: Gammaproteobacteria bacterium
Lineage: Bacteria; Pseudomonadati; Pseudomonadota; Gammaproteobacteria
Description: partial 16S ribosomal RNA
Rfam family: Bacterial small subunit ribosomal RNA
Source: RNAcentral